GAUGAACGCUGGCGGCGUGCCUAAUACAUGCAAGUCGAGCGAACAGAUAAGGAGCUUGCUCCUUUGACGUUAGCGGCGGACGGGUGAGUAACACGUGGGUAACCUACCUAUAAGACUGGAAUAACUCCGGGAAACCGGGGCUAAUGCCGGAUAACAUUUAGAACCGCAUGGUUCUAAAGUGAAAGAUGGUUUUGCUAUCACUUAUAGAUGGACCCGCGCCGUAUUAGCUAGUUGGUAAGGUAACGGCUUACCAAGGCAACGAUACGUAGCCGACCUGAGAGGGUGAUCGGCCACACUGGAACUGAGACACGGUCCAGACUCCUACGGGAGGCAGCAGUAGGGAAUCUUCCGCAAUGGGCGAAAGCCUGACGGAGUAACGCCGCGUGAGUGAUGAAGGUCUUCGGAUCGUAAAACUCUGUUAUUAGGGAAGAACAAAUGUGUAAGUAACUGUGCACGUCUUGACGGUACCUAAUCAGAAAGCCACGGCUAACUACGUG
RNAcentral lists this ribosomal RNA (497 nucleotides) under uncultured bacterium. RNAcentral describes it as "partial 16S ribosomal RNA". It matches the Rfam family "Bacterial small subunit ribosomal RNA", at positions 28 to 507 of the family's 1533-position model. The record is from RNAcentral.